Molecule: non-coding RNA, 93 nt
Organism: Lyophyllum atratum
Lineage: Eukaryota; Fungi; Basidiomycota; Agaricomycetes; Agaricales; Lyophyllaceae
Source: the annotation of a GenBank genome assembly
GACUGGAUGGUGUAUAGGUAACACAUCUGCAUUGAAUCCGCUGUAGGCUAUCUCCUCCUGCGGACGAGCCCUGUUCGAUUCGGGGUCCAGUCA